GACGAACGCUGGCGGCGUGCCUAAUACAUGCAAGUUGAGCGCUGAAGGUUGGUACUUGUACCAACUGGAUGAGCAGCGAACGGGUGAGUAACGCGUGGGGAAUCUGCCUUUGAGCGGGGGACAACAUUUGGAAACGAAUGCUAAUACCGCAUAAAAACUUUAAACACAAGUUUUAAGUUUGAAAGACGCAAUUGCAUCACUCAAAGAUGAUCCCGCGUUGUAUUAGCUAGUUGGUGAGGUAAAGGCUCACCAAGGCGAUGAUACAUAGCCGACCUGAGAGGGUGAUCGGCCACAUUGGGACUGAGACACGGCCCAAACUCCUACGGGAGGCAGCAGUAGGGAAUCUUCGGCAAUGGACGAAAGUCUGACCGAGCAACGCCGCGUGAGUGAAGAAGGUUUUCGGAUCGUAAAACUCUGUUGGUAGAGAAGAACGUUGGUGAGAGUGGAAAGCUCAUCAAGUGACGGUAACUACCCAGAAAGGGACGGCUAACUACGUG
Molecule: ribosomal RNA, 497 nt
Filed under: uncultured bacterium
Lineage: Bacteria
Description: partial 16S ribosomal RNA
Rfam family: Bacterial small subunit ribosomal RNA
Source: RNAcentral